GACGUAGGGCGCGAGCGUUGUCCGGAUUUAUUGGGCGUAAAGAGCUCGUAGGCGGCUUGUCGCGUCGAAUGUGAAAUCUCAGGGCUCAACUCUGACAUUGCAUUCGAUACGGGCAGGCUAGAGUUCGGUAGGGGAGACUGGAAUUCCUGGUGUAGCGGUGAAAUGCGCAGAUACCAGGAGGAACACCGAUGGCGAAGGCAGGUCUCUGGGCCGAUACUGACGCUGAGGAGCGAAAGCGUGGGGAGCGAACAGG
This 253-nucleotide ribosomal RNA is filed under the name uncultured bacterium. Its description in RNAcentral is "partial 16S ribosomal RNA". It matches the Rfam family "Bacterial small subunit ribosomal RNA", at positions 524 to 776 of the family's 1533-position model. The record is from RNAcentral.